AAGUCGAACGGAAAGGCCUUUUCGGAGGUACUCGAGUGGCGAACGGGUGAGUAACACGUGGGUGAUCUGCCCUGCACUCUGGGAUAAGCCUGGGAAACUGGGUCUAACACCGGAUAGGACCGCACUUUAGUGUGUGUGGUGGAAAGUUUUUUCGGUGUAGGAUGAGCCCGCGGCCUAUCAGCUUGUUGGUGGGGUAAUGGCCUACCAAGGCGGCGACGGGUAGCCGGACUGAGAGGUUGGUCGGCCACAUUGGGACUGAGAUACGGCCCAGACUCCUACGGGAGGCAGCAGUGGGGAAUAUUGCACAAUGGGCGCAAGCCUGAUGCAGCGACGCCGCGUGGGGGAUGACGGCCUUCGGGUUGUAAACUCCUUUCGCCAGGGACGAAGCGUUUUGUGACGGUACCUGGAGAAGAAGCACCGGCUAACUACGUGCCAGCAGCCGCGGUAAUACGUAGGGUGCAAGCGUUGUCCGGAAUUACUGGGCGUAAAGAGCUCGUAGGUGGUUUGUCACGUCGUCUGUGAAAUUCCACAGCUUAACUGUGGGCGUGCAGGCGAUACGGGCUGACUUGAGUACUGUAGGGGUAACUGGAAUUCCUGGUGUAGCGGUGAAAUGCGCAGAUAUCAGGAGGAACACCGAUGGCGAAGGCAGGUUACUGGGCAGUUACUGACGC
This 671-nucleotide ribosomal RNA is filed under the name uncultured Actinomycetales bacterium. Its description in RNAcentral is "bacterial SSU rRNA". It matches the Rfam family "Bacterial small subunit ribosomal RNA", at positions 59 to 746 of the family's 1533-position model. The record is from RNAcentral. Lineage: Bacteria; Bacillati; Actinomycetota; Actinomycetes; Actinomycetales.